AGAGUUUGAUCCUGGCUCAGGACGAACGCUGGCGGCGUGCCUAAUACAUGCAAGUCGAGCGGACAGAUAAGGAGCUUGCUCCUUUGAAGUCAGCGGCGGACGGGUGAGUAACACGUGGGCAACCUGCCUAUAAGACUGGAAUAACUCCGGGAAACCGGGGCUAAUACCGGAUAGAUUCUUUCCUCUCAUGAGGAAAGAAGGAAAGAUGGUUUCGGCUAUCACUUAUAGAUGGGCCCGCGGCGCAUUAGCUAGUUGGUAAGGUAACGGCUUACCAAGGCGACGAUGCGUAGCCGACCUGAGAGGGUGAUCGGCCACACUGGGACUGAGACACGGCCCAGACUCCUACGGGAGGCAGCAGUAGGGAAUCUUCCGCAAUGGACGAAAGUCUGACGGAGCAACGCCGCGUGAACGAAGAAGGCCUUCGGGUCGUAAAGUUCUGUUGUUAGGGAAGAACAAGUACGAUAGUAACUGAUCGUACCUUGACGGUACCCAACCAGAAAGCCACGGCUAACUACGUGCCAGCAGCCGCGGUAAUACGUAGGUGGCAAGCGUUGUCCGGAAUUAUUGGGCGUAAAGCGCGCGCAGGUGGUUCCUUAAGUCUGAUGUGAAAGCCCACGGCUCAACCGUGGAAGGUCAUUGGAAACUGGGGAACUUGAGUACAGAAGAGGAAAGUGGAAUUCCAAGUGUAGCGGUGAAAUGC
RNAcentral lists this ribosomal RNA (700 nucleotides) under uncultured bacterium. RNAcentral's name for it is "bacterial SSU rRNA". It matches the Rfam family "Bacterial small subunit ribosomal RNA", at positions 8 to 689 of the family's 1533-position model. The record is from RNAcentral.